This 254-nucleotide ribosomal RNA is filed under the name uncultured bacterium. RNAcentral describes it as "partial 16S ribosomal RNA". It matches the Rfam family "Bacterial small subunit ribosomal RNA", at positions 524 to 776 of the family's 1533-position model. The record is from RNAcentral.
UACGGGGGGAGCAAGCGUUGUUCGGAUUUACUGGGCGUAAAGGGCGCGUAGGCGGCCACCGCAAGUCGACUGUGAAAUCUCCGGGCUUAACUCGGAAAGGUCAGCCGAUACUGCGGGGCUAGAGUGCAGAGGGGGCAACUGGAAUUCUCGGUGUAGCGGUGAAAUGCGUAGAUAUCGAGAGGAACACCUGCGGCGAAGGCGGGUUGCUGGGCUGACACUGACGCUGAAGCGCGAAAGCUAGGGGAGCGAACGGG